UUUGGUUUCGACGGGGGCGGCAGGGAUAAAAGCUGCAGGUCGAGCUUUCCGACUCGUAAAUCCGGAAGCGUAAAAUAAACGCCAAAGACGAAUUAGCACUCGCUGCCUAAUUAAACGCAGCGCGCCCUCCCCGGCGGUGCCCGGCGGCCGGGAAAAGGGUGUCAUAAAUCCGGGAUCUUCCCGUAGUGCGGCUCUGGCACUAUAGGAGAAAAUUAAAGAGCUGGCCGAACUUUUAUCCUGCUCCCGGGAGAAAAGACGGCGAGAAACAAAACGGGAGAUAAGCCUGUAGACGCUUUUAUCGAUGUGCCUUCGGACAGGGGUUCGAUUCA
Molecule: transfer-messenger RNA, 329 nt
Filed under: Thermoanaerobacterales bacterium
Lineage: Bacteria; Bacillati; Bacillota; Clostridia; Thermoanaerobacterales
Rfam family: transfer-messenger RNA
About the family: Bacterial tmRNA, also known as 10Sa RNA or SsrA, is named for its dual tRNA and mRNA-like properties. Its role is to liberate the mRNA from a stalled ribosome. To accomplish this part of the tmRNA is used as a reading frame that ends in a translation stop signal.
Source: RNAcentral